AGAAGGAAGGGACCCCUAUGAAGUAGAGCCUGUUGCGCUUUUACCCGCAGAACUCAAACCUAUCCGAGGGUUAGGUGAAAGGGAUCGGGAGAGCAGUUGAAGACCUCUCGCCUUCGUUGAGCGUAUUUCAAAACCUCCCUAAAAGUGCACUUGGGGAGUUUAACGACCACGCUUGUACCUGUACGACUCUUUCUUUCACCUUGAAAAUCGAGUUGGAAUGCUUUUAGAAUAGAAUGCUUCGUAACCUCACCCUUUCCAUCGUUAACACUCCUUAAGCUUCGCUAAAGCGACUACGUACCUCGCUGCUGUUAAGUGUGAAUAUCCUGAGACCCGAGACUCUACUACUACCCUUUAUCAAGCUGGUUUACAAUAGUGCGGGAAUAGCGGCUAAAAGAUUCCCAAUAUCUUAUAGCAUCUUAGAGUAAAGGUAAUAAGAUCUUUUAGGUAGCUUUUUUUAUU
This 459-nucleotide long non-coding RNA is filed under the name Gossypium barbadense (sea-island cotton). Its description in RNAcentral is "long non-coding RNA (GBAR_LNC006058)". Lineage: Eukaryota; Viridiplantae; Streptophyta; Magnoliopsida; Malvales; Malvaceae. The record is from RNAcentral.